Molecule: transfer RNA, 77 nt
Filed under: Ignavibacteria bacterium
Lineage: Bacteria; Pseudomonadati; Ignavibacteriota; Ignavibacteria
Description: tRNA-Arg
Rfam family: tRNA
About the family: Transfer RNA (tRNA) molecules are approximately 80 nucleotides in length. Their secondary structure includes four short double-helical elements and three loops (D, anti-codon, and T loops).
Source: RNAcentral
GCACCCGUAGCUCAAUUGGAUAGAGCAGCAGCCUACGGAGCUGGAGGUUGGGGGUUCGAGUCCCUCCGGGUGCGCAA